CCUACGGGAGGCAGCAGUGGGGAAUAUUGCACAAUGGGCGAAAGCCUGAUGCAGCGACGCCGCGUGAGGGAUGACGGCCUUCGGGUUGUAAACCUCUUUCAGCAGGGAAGAAGCGAAAGUGACGGUACCUGCAGAAGAAGCGCCGGCUAACUACGUGCCAGCAGCCGCGGUAAUACGUAGGGCGCAAGCGUUGUCCGGAAUUAUUGGGCGUAAAGAGCUCGUAGGCGGCUUGUCACGUCGGAUGUGAAAGCCCGGGGCUUAACCCCGGGUCUGCAUUCGAUACGGGCUAGCUAGAGUGUGGUAGGGGAGAUCGGAAUUCCUGGUGUAGCGGUGAAAUGCGCAGAUAUCAGGAGGAACACCGGUGGCGAAGGCGGAUCUCUGGGCCAUUACUGACGCUGAGGAGCGAAAGCGUGGGGAGCGAACAGGAUUAGAUACCCUGGUAGUCCACGCCGUAAACCGUUGGGAACUAGGUGUUGGCGACAUUCCACGUCGUCGGUGCCGCNGCUACGACAUUAGUUACCCGUCCGUCGGGAGGUACGGCCGCGACGACGUAAACGUACGAAGGUAAGUUAGUACGGCGUUGUAGACGUUGCCGACGGCGACGACGAGGGAGGAGG
RNAcentral lists this ribosomal RNA (617 nucleotides) under uncultured bacterium. Its description in RNAcentral is "bacterial SSU rRNA". The stretch from base 1 to 525 matches the Rfam family "Bacterial small subunit ribosomal RNA", at positions 338 to 873 of the family's 1533-position model. The record is from RNAcentral.